Molecule: ribosomal RNA, 403 nt
Filed under: uncultured bacterium
Lineage: Bacteria
Description: partial 16S ribosomal RNA
Rfam family: Bacterial small subunit ribosomal RNA
Source: RNAcentral
AUUGAACGCUGGCGGCAGGCCUAACACAUGCAAGUCGAGCGAGCGGCGGACGGGUGAGUAAUGUAUGGGGACUGCCCGAUAGAGGGGGAUAACUACUGGAAACGGUGGCUAAUACCGCAUACUAUCGGAUAACCCAUAUGGGAUUAGCUAGUCGGUGGGGUAAAGGCUCACCUAGGCGACGAUCUCUAGCUGGUAUGAGAGGAUGAUAGGCAACAGUGGGACGGAGAAACGGCCCAGAGUGCGAGGGAGGAAGCAGAGGGGAAGAGUGCACAAGGGGCGAAAGGCUGAUGCAGCAAUGCCGCGGGUAUGAAGAAGGGCUUAGGGUUGUAAAGUACUUUCAGCGGGGAGGCGUUACCCGAAGAAGAAGCACCGGCUAACUACGUGCCAGCAGCCGCGGUAAUUG